GAUGAACGCUGGCGGCGUGCCUAAUACAUGCAAGUCGAGCGAACAGACGAGGAGCUUGCUCCUCUGACGUUAGCGGCGGACGGGUGAGUAACACGUGGAUAACCUACCUAUAAGACUGGGAUAACUUCGGGAAACCGGAGCUAAUACCGGAUAAUAUAUUGAACCGCAUGGUUCAAUAGUGAAAGACGGUUUUGCUGUCACUUAUAGAUGGAUCCGCGCCGCAUUAGCUAGUUGGUAAGGUAACGGCCUACCAAGGCAACGAUGCGUAGCCGACCUGAGAGGGUGAUCGGCCACACUGGAGCUGAGACACGGUCCAGACUCCUACGGGAGGCAGCAGUAGGGAAUCUUCCGCAAUGGGCGAAAGCAUGACGGAACAACGCCGCGUGAGUGAUGAAGGUCUUCGGAUCGUAAAACUCUGUUAUUAGGGAAGAACAAAUGUGUAAGUAACUGUGCACGUCUUGACGGUACCUAAUCAGAAAGCCACGGCUAACUACGUG
RNAcentral lists this ribosomal RNA (497 nucleotides) under uncultured bacterium. RNAcentral's name for it is "partial 16S ribosomal RNA". It matches the Rfam family "Bacterial small subunit ribosomal RNA", at positions 28 to 507 of the family's 1533-position model. The record is from RNAcentral.